This 77-nucleotide transfer RNA is filed under the name Candidatus Roizmanbacteria bacterium CG10_big_fil_rev_8_21_14_0_10_45_7. RNAcentral describes it as "tRNA-Val". It matches the Rfam family "tRNA". Rfam says of the family: Transfer RNA (tRNA) molecules are approximately 80 nucleotides in length. Their secondary structure includes four short double-helical elements and three loops (D, anti-codon, and T loops). Lineage: Bacteria; Candidatus Roizmaniibacteriota. The record is from RNAcentral.
GGUCGCUUAGCUCAGUUGGUUAGAGCAUCCCGUUGACAUCGGGAAGGUCGGUGGUUCAAGUCCACCAGCGACCACAA